Molecule: transfer RNA, 71 nt
Filed under: Magallana gigas (Pacific oyster)
Lineage: Eukaryota; Metazoa; Mollusca; Bivalvia; Ostreida; Ostreidae
Description: Crassostrea gigas (Pacific oyster) tRNA
Rfam family: tRNA
About the family: Transfer RNA (tRNA) molecules are approximately 80 nucleotides in length. Their secondary structure includes four short double-helical elements and three loops (D, anti-codon, and T loops). Further hydrogen bonds mediate the characteristic L-shaped molecular structure. tRNAs have two regions of fundamental functional importance: the anti-codon, which is responsible for specific mRNA codon recognition, and the 3' end, to which the tRNAs corresponding amino acid is attached (by aminoacyl-tRNA synthetases). tRNAs cope with the degeneracy of the genetic code in two manners: having more than one tRNA (with a specific anti-codon) for a particular amino acid; and 'wobble' base-pairing, i.e. permitting non-standard base-pairing at the 3rd anti-codon position.
Source: Rfam by way of RNAcentral
GCGUCGGUGGUGUAAUGGUCAGCAUGGUUGCCUUCCAAGCAGUCGACCUGGUUCAAUUCCCGUCCGACGCA